This 68-nucleotide transfer RNA is filed under the name Caecilia tentaculata. RNAcentral describes it as "tRNA-Phe". It matches the Rfam family "tRNA". Rfam says of the family: Transfer RNA (tRNA) molecules are approximately 80 nucleotides in length. Their secondary structure includes four short double-helical elements and three loops (D, anti-codon, and T loops). The record is from RNAcentral. Lineage: Eukaryota; Metazoa; Chordata; Amphibia; Gymnophiona; Caeciliidae.
GUCCUUGUAGCUUAAACUAAAGCAUGGCCCUGAAAAGGCCAAUAUGAAGUCAACCUAUUCCAAAGACA